Molecule: long non-coding RNA, 2714 nt
Organism: Catharus ustulatus (Swainson's thrush)
Lineage: Eukaryota; Metazoa; Chordata; Aves; Passeriformes; Turdidae
Exons: 2
Source: RefSeq, a predicted model, not a curated record
CGGCGGGGACGUGGAGUACGGUCAGCAGGCGUGGGGAAGGACACGGACCGCCCACGGAGCACCCUGUGCUAAGCGCUUACAAGUCACAGAAUCUAUUAGGUUGGAAAAGACUACUGAGGGAAUCGAGUUCUAACUCAGGAUCGAACACAACACUGUCGAACAGACCACGGCACUGAGUAGUGCCAGACGUUUCUCGAACGUCUCUAGAGAUAGUGACAGCAACACCACCCCGGGCAGCCUGUUCCCAUCUUUAAUCACCCUCUCUGUAAAGAAAUUCCUUCUAAUGCCCAAUCAAAACUUACCCUCGCAUAGUGUAAGACUAUGUCCUCUUGUCCUAUUAAUGGUUGCCUGGGAAAAGAACCCGACCUCCCACCUGGGUUCAUCUCCUUUCAGGGAGGUGUGAAGAGUGAUAAAGGAGGCCUGCACCUCAUCUAGGCUGAACACCCUCAGCUGUUCCUCACAGCACCUGUGCUCCAGGCCUUUCCCCAGCACUAUUACCCUUCUCUGGACCCAUUCCAGAACCUCAGUGUCCUUUCUGAAUUGAGGGACUCAGAACGGGAUACAUCUCGAUGUGUGGUCCCACCAGUGCACAGUACAGGGAAAGAAUCACACCCCUUGUCCUGCUGGCCACGCCAUUCCUGACAUAGGCUAGGAUCCAACACCAGCAACAAAUGAACUGUUGUAGCAGCAAAGGAGACUCUGGGCUUCCCUUACACAGUUUGUAUCAUUUGAACAGUUCUAACACUGUUAGAGUUGUGUAAAUGCAUUUCACACCAAUCUAUUGAUACAAAUAUGAGAAAAGAAAUACCUACUCCAGCUUAGAUCCCUUACAUGAAUUAGUGCCAUGUAUGCUGGGGCUUCUGGAAAACAACUGCAAGAGUUGAAAAUCAUGCCGUUAAAGUAAUUUCACCUGAUUUAGUUUAAGUGCAGUCAUUAGUAAAUAUUUUUACUUGUAACCAGCUUAAAUGACCUGCAUCAGUAUACAGCUAGUUUUGCCUUUCAGAGUAAUCUUGCUCCGACAAAUUAACCUUAGGACACUAAACUCACAAUGCAUGGUGACACAGUCCAACACAGUUGCACAUGUUGUAUCAAUACACUUGGUGGGCAUGUUUAAGGCAGUCUGUAGAUAUAAAUACCAACCAGAAUAUUCUAUACACCCACCCUACAGAAUUAAAAUGAUACAUUUAUUUAUUCUCUUCAUGUAGUAUUAUCCUGUUUCCUGGCUGCAAUACUGCUUCAAGAGAAACUUCUUGUGUUCCAUGACUGUACUUGAUUGCAUUAUCUUUUUCUCCCUUCACUUUUAAACCUUUUCUGAACCUGUGUGUUCUCUCACAUAGUAACAUGCAAGGCCACAAUUCCAGUCUCUUUUGCCCUUGUCAUUUCUGUGCUGUUUCCUCUCACUUCACAGGAAGGCUGUUUAAAUCUCUGUGCUGCAUUGACCUCAAACAGCUCCUUUGAAAUCUCUGCAAAGAGAUUUCAGCAAGAUAUUGGUAAAAGUACCUCCAAUCCCAAAGAACAACAUUUCACUACAAUGUGGAGUGCAGUGUCACAACCAGGCUCCCCUGUAUUAUUUCUGUGUCUUGUUCCUCCCAGUUCAUCUGUGUGUCUGGACACAUUUACUAUAUCCUUAUGUGCCCAGCUAGUGAUUUGCUUUGGGGCAAACCAGGUUUGGUUUUUUUCCUUAUGUUUACAUCAUAUCAAAUACAAGGUGGUCUGAGCACAUACCUGUAUUCUACAGUAAGAAUCCUUGAUAAAAGUAAUGCAAUAAUAAAUUAGGUAUUCUGUCAAUCUGUCAUGUGAGGAUUCAGCUUUUGUUAUUUCAGUGAUACUUCCAGGCUUUAUUUGUAUUCAGAAAACAUUUUGAAGUUAAGGCAUUCUAUUGGACACCUGAUUUCACUUCUGAGAUUGUGUUUUCUUGCCAUCCCAGCUAUUCUAACACUUUAUCUUUUCAUCUUCUUAUUAGCAAGCCCCAGAACUUUAAUAAGAGUAAGUGUAUUUUAUCAGAGAAAGAAUUACAACAGUCUGAUGUCUUUCUUCAAAGUGAAGUAGGUCUGGUGUGUGAGCAUCAGGAACGUUUUCUAGUGGUUUGCCUUACCCACAGGUCAGGAGACAGACUUUAAAUGAUCUUCCAAAACAACCAUGAAGCCCCAUCACAAACUAUCCCUAAAUGCUGUCAUAGUUGCCAUACUUGUUCACAACCCUCUAUUAAUCCUUGUAUUGCAACUAUUUUAACAUUCUGGCCCUCAAAACAUCCCGUGGAUGAGAGCAGCAGUGGCAUUUUUGCUGAUGUUUUGGGUGAACCAGUCUGUUUGCAGGCACCUUCAACGAAGUACAUUAUAAACAAUUUUUGACUCCCUAACAGCAGUGUUUUCUGUAAUGCUGUCCCUCAGAAGGCAACCCAAGUUGCCUUUUGGUUAUAUGUCUCUGUGGCUUCUGAUAAGCAUAUUAACAUUUCUGUUUGCAGCUGAGCUACAUUCUGGUCUGAUGACACUUCCAGGUUUUCAAGAGUGCUGCAAGAAGGAUCAGAAAAUGAAUGAGGACUGUUGUCCACAAAUCCACAUCCAUCUAAGUGAAAAUUCUCAAUAUGAACAGAUGCUGAUAAAGCACUGGAACAAUGCCAGGUAUUUUAGGAAAUGCAUUGCUGUUUCCCUGGAUCACCAGAUGUUACAAUAUGUUAACUCUGUUUCCGGAAUAAAGAAUAAUUUUUAUUGUAA